Lemur catta (Ring-tailed lemur) is the source of this 860-nucleotide long non-coding RNA. RefSeq lists it as uncharacterized. The transcript has 5 exons. The record is from RefSeq and is a predicted model, not a curated record. Lineage: Eukaryota; Metazoa; Chordata; Mammalia; Primates; Lemuridae.
GGCCCGCCGCCUAGCGCGCCCGGGAGAGGGGCUUCCUCUGCCGAGGGGCAUCCCUUUCCAGCGUUGGGCGCCAAGAGCGGAGCCGAGCACCCACCUCGCAGGCUCCACCUGAGACCCCUGAAAGGGUGGGAAAGGGAGAGACCACCACGAGCAGACUGGACAGCGAGCCAGGGACCUGUGGGAAGACGUGUCGGGGGCUGAGAGCUUUGGUAAUGAAGGGAUUCCAGUUCUGGCAAAUGCUUCUGUAAGUGUAGGACAGUGGGGCAGGAGCGGCGCUGCCGGUUAUGCAGGUGGGCCAUCCUGUACGUACCGAGCGGCGUUAAGAUCCAUAAAACCACCCGCCUGCAUUCCAGUAACUCUGGCUGCUCUGAUAAGGAGCGUAUGGACAGAAGGGGAGACAGAAGGAGGCUCUUGAAAUAAUCCAGGCCCUGGUGUCUCAUUCUGUGGAGCGGAAAGCAGCAAGGAGAAAGAGGGAUGUCCACCAUACAACCAAACCACAUUGUUACAAGGAUCCCUGUUUUGCUGAUAGGUUACUGGGGUUCUAUACAUCAGAUGCUGGUAGUGAUGUUGAAGAGCCCGACUGUGACUACCAAGUGAAGCAACAGCCCUGAAAAAAAUAAGCAUCAGGAAACCACUCUCCUGCCCCUUUUGUCCUGCCUGCCAUGGUAAGGAAAGGAGAAUGAACUUCAAGAAGACAACUGAACGUUUGUUGUAUUAUUGGGACAUGUGAAAUCUUUGAAGCUAUCCUCUCUGUCAAGUUUGUAUGAGGAAAUUGAGUGACUCCCACAGUGUGGAAGUAUCAGGUCAUUAAAAUCUUAGUUACUACAAGACAAAGAGUCAGUGCGUCUUCUAUGGAGACA